Molecule: ribosomal RNA, 519 nt
Filed under: Bacillus sp. CSu5_16
Lineage: Bacteria; Bacillati; Bacillota; Bacilli; Caryophanales; Bacillaceae
Description: bacterial SSU rRNA
Rfam family: Bacterial small subunit ribosomal RNA
Source: RNAcentral
AUACAUGCAGUCGAGCGGACCGACGGGAGCUUGCUCCCUUAGGUCAGCGGCGGACGGGUGAGUAACACGUGGGUAACCUGCCUGUAAGACUGGGAUAACUCCGGGAAACCGGGGCUAAUACCGGAUGCUUGAUUGAACCGCAUGGUUCAAUCAUAAAAGGCGGCUUCGGCUGCCGUUUACAGAUGGACCCGCGGCGCAUUAGCUAGUUGGUGAGGUAACGGCUCACCAAGGCGACGAUGCGUAGCCGACCUGAGAGGGUGAUCGGCCACACUGGGACUGAGACACGGCCCAGACUCCUACGGGAGGCAGCAGUAGGGAAUCUUCCGCAAUGGACGAAAGUCUGACGGAGCAACGCCGCGUGAGUGAUGAAGGUUUUCGGAUCGUANAGCUCUGUUGUUAGGGAAGAACAAGUACCGUUCGAAUAGGGCGGUACCUUGACGGUACCUAACCAGAGAGCCACGGCUAACUACGUGCCAGCAGCCGCGGUAAUACGUACGUGGCAAGCGUUGUCCGGAAUUA